This 886-nucleotide long non-coding RNA is filed under the name Salvia miltiorrhiza (redroot sage). Its description in RNAcentral is "long non-coding RNA (SMIL_LNC005530)". The record is from RNAcentral. Lineage: Eukaryota; Viridiplantae; Streptophyta; Magnoliopsida; Lamiales; Lamiaceae.
AUCUCCUCCACCCCACAAAUCUUCUCUAUAAAUACCCCUAAACCCUAAUUCACUUUCUCUCGCAUCAAUCCCUCUCUCUGAUUUCCCACCACACAAUCCAAAAUAUUCUGCAACCUUUUUCCCGAUAUUGUAAACCCCACCAAAAAAAUAUUUCCCCAUCACACUUUUUGCUCCUCCAUAUCUCUUCGAAGAAUCGUUGCAACCAUCCAAUUUCUUAUCCUUUACCAAUUCUGCAAAAGAAUUUUGACAUUAUUCGUUACCUCAAUUUUCUUUUUCGGCUGAAUGGUCGGUCUACAAUAAAUACGAGCAGCCAUGGCAGCAGCCUAUCCACAUUUCCUAGUAUCCGAAACCCUAACCGCGGCCACGCCGCCGCCGAUAAUGGCGACCCCCGCCGCCUCGCCCCUCACGCAGGACGAAUUGAAGAAGAUCGCCGCCUACAAAGCCGUCGAGCACGUGCGUUCCGGCAUGGUCGUCGGCCUCGGCACCGGCUCCACCGCGAAGCACGCCGUCGACCGCAUCGCCGAGCUCCUGAAGCAGGGGAAGCUAAGCGACGUCGUCGGGAUCGCCACCUCCACCAAAACCUACGAGCAGGCGGCGUCGCUCGGCAUCCCGCUCUCGGAUCUCGACGCGCACCCGAUCGUCGAUCUGUCAAUCGACGGCGCCGACGAGGUCGAUCCGGAUUUGAACCUCGUCAAAGGCAGGGGCGGAUCGCUGCUGAGAGAGAAGAUGGUGGAAUCCGCGAGUAGGAAAUUCAUCGUGAUCGUUGACGAGUCGAAAUUGGUGAGCCACAUCGGCGGCAGCGGGCUGGCAAUGCCGGUGGAGGUGAUUCCGUUCUGCUGGAGCCACUCGCUGAGCAGGCUCAAGGCGCUGUUCGCCGACGCCGGCU